RNAcentral lists this ribosomal RNA (494 nucleotides) under Streptomyces griseoflavus. RNAcentral describes it as "bacterial SSU rRNA". It matches the Rfam family "Bacterial small subunit ribosomal RNA", at positions 371 to 875 of the family's 1533-position model. The record is from RNAcentral. Lineage: Bacteria; Bacillati; Actinomycetota; Actinomycetes; Kitasatosporales; Streptomycetaceae.
AUGGGCGAAAGCCUGAUGCAGCGACGCCGCGUGAGGGAUGACGGCCUUCGGGUUGUAAACCUCUUUCAGCAGGGAAGAAGCGAAAGUGACGGUACCUGCAGAAGAAGCGCCGGCUAACUACGUGCCAGCAGCCGCGGUAAUACGUAGGGCGCGAGCGUUGUCCGGAAUUAUUGGGCGUAAAGAGCUCGUAGGCGGCUUGUCACGUCGGUUGUGAAAGCCCGGGGCUUAACCCCGGGUCUGCAGUCGAUACGGGCAGGCUAGAGUUCGGUAGGGGAGAUCGGAAUUCCUGGUGUAGCGGUGAAAUGCGCAGAUAUCAGGAGGAACACCGGUGGCGAAGGCGGAUCUCUGGGCCGAUACUGACGCUGAGGAGCGAAAGCGUGGGGAGCGAACAGGAUUAGAUACCCUGGUAGUCCACGCCGUAAACGGUGGGCACUAGGUGUGGGCGACAUUCCACGUCGUCCGUGCCGCAGCUAACGCAUUAAGUGCCCCGCCUG